UACGUAGGGGGGCGAGCGUUGUCCGGAUUCAUUGGGCGUAAAGAGCUCGUAGGCGGUUCGGUAAGUCAGGUGUGAAAUCUCCACGCUCAACGUGGAGGGGCCACCUGAUACUGCCGUGACUCGAGUCCGGUAGGGGAGUAUGGAAUUCCCGGUGUAGCGGUGAAAUGCGCAGAUAUCGGGAGGAACACCAGUGGCGAAGGCGGUACUCUGGGCCGGAACUGACGCUGAGGAGCGAAAGCGUGGGUAGCAAACAGG
Molecule: ribosomal RNA, 255 nt
Filed under: uncultured bacterium
Lineage: Bacteria
Description: partial 16S ribosomal RNA
Rfam family: Bacterial small subunit ribosomal RNA
Source: RNAcentral